UACGAAGGGUGCAAGCGUUACUCGGAAUUACUGGGCGUAAAGCGUGCGUAGGCGGUUCGUUAAGUCUGCCGUGAAAGCCCCGGGCUCAACCUGGGAAUUGCGGUGGAUACUGGCGGGCUAGAGUACGGUAGAGGGUGGUGGAAUUCCCGGUGUAGCAGUGAAAUGCGUAGAGAUCGGGAGGAACAUCUGUGGCGAAGGCGGCCACCUGGACCAGUACUGACGCUGAGGCACGAAAGCGUGGGGAGCAAACAGG
RNAcentral lists this ribosomal RNA (253 nucleotides) under uncultured Arenimonas sp. Its description in RNAcentral is "partial 16S ribosomal RNA". It matches the Rfam family "Bacterial small subunit ribosomal RNA", at positions 524 to 776 of the family's 1533-position model. The record is from RNAcentral. Lineage: Bacteria; Pseudomonadati; Pseudomonadota; Gammaproteobacteria; Lysobacterales; Lysobacteraceae.